GAGACACCUUUAUGGGAUGGGACUUGCUUUAGUGGGGCGUUGGCGCUCACUGAGUCUGCCCCCUGAAUGUGUCUCU
Non-coding RNA from Myotis davidii, 76 nucleotides. The record is from Rfam. Lineage: Eukaryota; Metazoa; Chordata; Mammalia; Chiroptera; Vespertilionidae.